Molecule: ribosomal RNA, 253 nt
Filed under: uncultured bacterium
Lineage: Bacteria
Description: partial 16S ribosomal RNA
Rfam family: Bacterial small subunit ribosomal RNA
Source: RNAcentral
UACGGAGGGUGCAAGCGUUAUCCGGAUUCACUGGGUUUAAAGGGUCCGUAGGCGGUUUAGUAAGUCAGUGGUGAAAGCCCAUCGCUCAUCGGUGGAACGGCCAUUGAUACCGCUAGACUUGAAUUAUUAGGAAGUAACUAGAAUAUGUAGUGUAGCGGUGAAAUGCUUAGAGAUUACAUGGAAUACCAAUUGCGAAGGCAGGUUACUACUAAUGGAUUGACGCUGAUGGACGAAAGCGUGGGUAGCGAACAGG